AUUGAACGCUGGCGGCAGGCCUAACACAUGCAAGUCGAGCGGAUGACGGGAGCUUGCUCCUUGAUUCAGCGGCGGACGGGUGAGUAAUGCCUAGGAAUCUGCCUGGUAGUGGGGGACGACGUUUCGAAAGGAACGCUAAUACCGCAUACGUCCUACGGGAGAAAGCAGGGGACCUUCGGGCCUUGCGCUAUCAGAUGAGCCUAGGUCGGAUUAGCUAGUUGGUGGGGUAAUGGCUCACCAAGGCGACGAUCCGUAACUGGUCUGAGAGGAUGAUCAGUCACACUGGAACUGAGACACGGUCCAGACUCCUACGGGAGGCAGCAGUGGGGAAUAUUGGACAAUGGGCGAAAACCUGAUCCUGCCAUGCCGCGUGUGUGAAGAAGGUCUUCGGAUUGUAAAGCACUUUAAGUUGGGAGGAAGGGCAGUAAGCUAAUACCUUGCUGUUUUGACGUUACCGACAGAAUAAGCACCGGCUAACUCUGUGCCAGCCGCCGCAGUAA
This 500-nucleotide ribosomal RNA is filed under the name uncultured bacterium. Its description in RNAcentral is "partial 16S ribosomal RNA". It matches the Rfam family "Bacterial small subunit ribosomal RNA", at positions 30 to 523 of the family's 1533-position model. The record is from RNAcentral.